UAAUGUCUUCGGACCAAAGAUUUAUUGCCUUUAGAUGGGCCCGCGUUGGAUUAGAUAGUUGGUGGGGUAAUGGCCUACCAAGUCGACGAUCCAUAGCUGGUCUGAGAGGAUGAUCAGCCACACUGGGACUGAGACACGGCCCAGACUCCUACGGGAGGCAGCAGUGGGGAAUAUUGGACAAUGGGCGAAAGCCUGAUCCAGCAAUGCCGCGUGAGUGAUGAAGGCCUUAGGGUUGUAAAGCUCUUUUACCAGGGAUGAUAAUGACAGUACCUGGAGAAUAAGCUCCGGCUAACUCCGUGCCAGCAGCCGCGGUAAUACGGAGGGAGCUAGCGUUGUUCGGAAUUACUGGGCGUAAAGCGCACGUAGGCGGCUUUUCAAGUCAGGGGUGAAAUCCCGGGGCUCAACCCCGGAACUGCCCUUGAAACUGGAUGGCUAG
Molecule: ribosomal RNA, 436 nt
Filed under: Erythrobacter sp. xn45
Lineage: Bacteria; Pseudomonadati; Pseudomonadota; Alphaproteobacteria; Sphingomonadales; Erythrobacteraceae
Description: bacterial SSU rRNA
Rfam family: Bacterial small subunit ribosomal RNA
Source: RNAcentral